Molecule: ribosomal RNA, 255 nt
Filed under: uncultured bacterium
Lineage: Bacteria
Description: partial 16S ribosomal RNA
Rfam family: Bacterial small subunit ribosomal RNA
Source: RNAcentral
UACGUAGAGAGCAAGCGUUGUCCGGAAUCAUUGGGCGUAAAGGGUACGCAGGCGGUCUAUUAAGUCAGAGGUGAAAUCCAACAGCUCAACUGUUGAACUGCCUUUGAUACUGGUAGACUUGAGGAUAAGGAGAAGAAAACGGAAUUCCUAGUGUAGCGGUGAAAUGCGUAGAUAUUAGGAAGAAUACCGAUGACGAAAGCAGUUUCUAGCUUAUUCCUGACGCUCAGGUACGAAAGCUAGGGGUAGCAAACGGGG